RNAcentral lists this ribosomal RNA (308 nucleotides) under Afroneutria immortalis. Its description in RNAcentral is "partial small subunit ribosomal RNA". Lineage: Eukaryota; Metazoa; Arthropoda; Arachnida; Araneae; Ctenidae. The record is from RNAcentral.
AUUUAAUCAUUAAACCUAUUUAUCAUGGCGGCAUUUCAUCUAAUUAGGGGAAUUUGUUUUAUAAUCGAUAAUCCACGAUAAUUUUCACUUAAAUUAAAAACUUAUAUACCGCCAUCUAAAGAAUUAAUUUUAGAUAAUUAUUCAAAAUAAUUUUUUUAAAAAGUUAGGUCAAGGUGUAAUCUAUAUCUAAGAAAAAAUGAAUUACAUUAAAAACUAUUUAUAACUUAAAAAACUUUAACUUUUUAUUAAAUAGAAUUUAAAAGUAAUAAUUAAAAUAAUAAUUAAUUAUGAAUAAGAUAAUAUAUGUG